RNAcentral lists this ribosomal RNA (1373 nucleotides) under uncultured bacterium. Its description in RNAcentral is "bacterial SSU rRNA". It matches the Rfam family "Bacterial small subunit ribosomal RNA", at positions 28 to 1381 of the family's 1533-position model. The record is from RNAcentral.
GAUGAACGCUGGCGGCGUGCCUAAUACAUGCAAGUCGAGCGAACGGACGAGAAGCUUGCUUCUCUGAUGUUAGCGGCGGACGGGUGAGUAACACGUGGAUAACCUACCUAUAAGACUGGGAUAACUUCGGGAAACCGGAGCUAAUACCGGAUAAUAUUUUGAACCGCAUGGUUCAAAAGUGAAAGACGGUCUUGCUGUCACUUAUAGAUGGAUCCGCGCUGCAUUAGCUAGUUGGUAAGGUAACGGCUUACCAAGGCAACGAUGCAUAGCCGACCUGAGAGGGUGAUCGGCCACACUGGAACUGAGACACGGUCCAGACUCCUACGGGAGGCAGCAGUAGGGAAUCUUCCGCAAUGGGCGAAAGCCUGACGGAGCAACGCCGCGUGAGUGAUGAAGGUCUUCGGAUCGUAAAACUCUGUUAUUAGGGAAGAACAUAUGUGUAAGUAACUGUGCACAUCUUGACGGUACCUAAUCAGAAAGCCACGGCUAACUACGUGCCAGCAGCCGCGGUAAUACGUAGGUGGCAAGCGUUAUCCGGAAUUAUUGGGCGUAAAGCGCGCGUAGGCGGUUUUUUAAGUCUGAUGUGAAAGCCCACGGCUCAACCGUGGAGGGUCAUUGGAAACUGGAAAACUUGAGUGCAGAAGAGGAAAGUGGAAUUCCAUGUGUAGCGGUGAAAUGCGCAGAGAUAUGGAGGAACACCAGUGGCGAAGGCGACUUUCUGGUCUGUAACUGACGCUGAUGUGCGAAAGCGUGGGGAUCAAACAGGAUUAGAUACCCUGGUAGUCCACGCCGUAAACGAUGAGUGCUAAGUGUUAGGGGGUUUCCGCCCCUUAGUGCUGCAGCUAACGCAUUAAGCACUCCGCCUGGGGAGUACGACCGCAAGGUUGAAACUCAAAGGAAUUGACGGGGACCCGCACAAGCGGUGGAGCAUGUGGUUUAAUUCGAAGCAACGCGAAGAACCUUACCAAAUCUUGACAUCCUUUGACAACUCUAGAGAUAGAGCCUUCCCCUUCGGGGGGGCAGAGUGACAGGUGGUGCAUGGUUGUCGUCAGCUCGUGUCGUGAGAUGUUGGGUUAAGUCCCGCAACGAGCGCAACCCUUAAGCUUAGUUGCCAUCAUUAAGUUGGGCACUCUAAGUUGACUGCCGGUGACAAACCGGAGGAAGGUGGGGAUGACGUCAAAUCAUCAUGCCCCCUAUGAUUUGGGCUACACACGUGCUACAAUGGACAAUACAAAGGGCAGCGAAACCGCGAGGUCAAGCAAAUCCCAUAAAGUUGUUCUCAGUUCGGAUUGUAGUCUGCAACUCGACUACAUGAAGCUGGAAUCGCUAGUAAUCGUAGAUCAGCAUGCUACGGUGAAUACGUUCCCGGGUCU